UAAAUUGUUUCCGCGGUGUAC
This 21-nucleotide non-coding RNA is filed under the name Arabidopsis thaliana (thale cress). Lineage: Eukaryota; Viridiplantae; Streptophyta; Magnoliopsida; Brassicales; Brassicaceae. The record is from RNAcentral.